Molecule: long non-coding RNA, 2861 nt
Organism: Papaver somniferum (opium poppy)
Lineage: Eukaryota; Viridiplantae; Streptophyta; Magnoliopsida; Ranunculales; Papaveraceae
Exons: 3
Source: RefSeq, a predicted model, not a curated record
CUGUAAACGAGAAGAGAAGAAAUAAAACUCGCGGCUGAUUGAGAUCGAUAAAUAGAAAGAGAAAUCGAGAGACGAAAGAGGAAUUUAAGAGCAGAUUUGGGAGAGAAAGAGUUUGUUGCUGCUGUUAGAUGGAGAAGAUUAAGAAAUAAGGGUUUGAUUUUGCAUCUGAAAUAGAGAUGGGAUCUUGCUGUGAAUCGAAGAACUGAAAUUGAGAGAAGGGUUUGGUUGACCAUGGCUAAGUACCAAGAUUAAAAAAAAAAUCCAAUUAUUUUUAUUCAGCAGUUUGAUUAUGGAGAAUUGAAUGGAAACCCUAAUUUUAUAUUCGCCAAGCGAGAAUUCCUGAUGAUUUCACGGGUUUUCCUUUUCGAGGUAAGUUUUUAAAAAACCCUAAUUACAAUUACAGUUUGAAUUUGUAAAGUAUUCCCCGCAAUUGUAUCACUGAUAUGAAAUACCACAAUUACAAUUGUUUGUUUUUGAAUUUGUAUACUUAAUUGCGUAUUGUUUUUGAGUACUUAUUUGCAUUUUGUUACAUAAUGCUUGGUGUAAAAUUGUGUGAUUGGUGCGUUGAUUUAGGCAAGCAACUUUCUAACGCAAUAUAUGCGUAGUUCAAGAAUCUAAUGAGGAAUCAGGUUAAUCAGAAGGUGGUCCAGGCAUUGGUACUCAAGAAGUGGAAAUUCGAAAAUAAGAGAUCAGGCAACAAUGGAGUCUUUGCCUUCAUCUCAUUGGGAGUUCGCAGCUAUAUAUGGAAAAUUGGAAACUGAAUAGUUUGAACUUAAUUUAACUCAUGGUCUAUUUGUUGUUGUGUGUGUAAUGUAUGUAAAAUUGUGGAUCCAUGUUAUUGGGAAUGAGGAAGCCGAUAGAAAGGAAGCUGUCUAGUGAAAAAAGAAAAACAGGCAAGGCAUGAUAAACAACAAAAUCCCAUCUCCGUGUGACAACCCUAACCUUAUUUUAUUUGGGUUUAAAGGUUGACAACCCACACAACAACAAUUGUGUGUUAAUAUCAAUGCAAAAAUGCGCGUAUACUAAGAAACAUAUUUGCUCUUUUGCAGGAUCAAGGUCAAGAGAAUCAACAGGUUUUCAUCAAAGAAUUACUUCGUUUGUGGUUCAUUAAUUCAAGGAAGCAAGAAUGAGAAGAAAUCGAUGUUGUGAAGGAGAUCGAUGAAUUCUUACUGAAUGCAGGUGAAAUUGAGAUGGGUUUGUGGUUUACUGAUGCCGUUUGAACUUAAUAAUUGCUUUGAUAAGAUUAAUGCCGUUUGUUUAAUGAUUUUAUGAGGUAUUGCUAUUAGUGUUGUAACAGGUUAGGAUAACAGAAAGAAGGAGAGCAAUAGAGCUUUCAGCUGAAAGGGAACGAUGUAGCAAGUAUGUACAGAAUAAAAAACAAAUUACCCAAAAAGGACCUUGCUGAAAUGACCAUUAACCAUAUAUGAGAAACUGUUGACUAACGAACUACUUAUUAAUGUACACCCACUGUUACAUUACAAAGGGUUUUCAGACGCAUUUAGCUUGGGUCGCGUCGUUUAGCCUAAUUGGACAAUUUGGCGAAACAUGUUUUAAAUUGAAGGGUUAACAACUUUUGAGGCUUUCAUGAUAUUAAGCCCAUUCCUGCUACAGAGUCGAUGAUGGAUUAACUCAAGGUAAGAUCUUCAUCUCCCAGGGUUUCGGUUAAUAAGCAGUAGCAUGUUUCCGCAAGGUGGAUAGUUCUGCCCAAUUUUUUAAGCUAAAAAUUUUAAUAUGAGGCCUUAGAUUGUUCUGUACUCGACUUGGUUCGUAACUCAACUUCAGGCUACCUUUUAUAAGGAAUGGAAGUCAAACUCACAGUAAAGAGGGUUGGGGUGAUGGAGAUGACUGGCUUCUACUCAAUCGAUAAUCAAAAUUACGCAUUUAAGGGCUAAGUAAGUUGCAUAUACUUUGUAAUUAACCCAUAUCAGUUCGCGCUGCACUUCUGAUCACAUCUCAAAUUCUUUCCAAUUGUACUUUUUUGUAGGACCAACAUUUUUAUUAACUUUUAGUUAUCAAAUUUAACCACAUCAACAUUUAGUCAUUGCCUUGGCUUAUCUAAUUUAAGUACCACAUCAGUAGGUGCUUGCAAAGUGACUGCCUAUAGAAAUCCACUUUAAGCACCAAUGCAUGGUACAACUAUGGCAUGUCUAACUCAAGUUUGAAAGUUGUUUGCUUGAUUCAAAUAGGUCCACUCCCAUUAUUCUUUGAAUUUGUGACCAAUUCUUAACCUUCAUUUAUGACAUGCAUGGCGGUGCCAAUAGGUUUUGUUUCUUAGGUAGAACUGCCUUAAAAACUACCUAAUUCAUGAAUCCGAUAUAGCUGCCAAUAGGUUUUGUUUCUUAGGUAGAACUGCCUUAAAAACUACCUAAUUCGUGAAUCCUAUAUAGCCCGGCUUUUGUAUCCAUCUACUAUAUAUGUAUAUAUGUGUUUAUGUGUGUGUUUAUAUAUGUAGAUCUUCUUUUUCGCGUUUAUACAGUUUGUACUUGAUUUCAAAUUAUGCUUUACUUCACUAUUGCAUCCUUCGUGAUUGGCUUGGCAGAAAGUUUGAUUUGCAAUAUGGAUAGACUAUGAAAAGUCUUAGGACUUGGUUUGCCUUCCUACCUGCUGCAUUUGAAUUCCUAGCAUCUUGCUAACAGUCGGCAUAGACUACAAUCUGCGGUUGAAGGCAUAAAGCGAAAAACUACUGUCGACAAUUUUGGUUCAAGUUAAGUGCAUAAAUACCGUUUGGGUUUAAAUGAUGUUCUCGAGUGUUUGAGGAUCAAAACGAAAUAGAAGUAAUUUUUUUAUCCUGUUCAUUCUGAUCCAAAGAUUUUGUUAAAUGUAUGAUUCAUCCAAAAACUAAUGAAAGGCUAAUUCUUCAU